Molecule: ribosomal RNA, 482 nt
Filed under: uncultured bacterium
Lineage: Bacteria
Description: SSU rRNA
Rfam family: Bacterial small subunit ribosomal RNA
Source: RNAcentral
AGGACGAACGCUGGCGGCGUGCUUAACACAUGCAAGUCGAACGGAAAGGCCCGCUUGCGGGUACUCGAGUGGCGAACGGGUGAGUAACACGUGGGCAACCUGCCCUCAGCUCUGGGAUAACUCCGGGAAACCGGUGCUAAUACUGGAUAUCGACUUCUGCUCGCAUGGGUGGUUGUUGAAAGUUUUUCGGCUGGGGAUGGGCCCGCGGCCUAUCAGCUUGUUGGUGGGGUAAUGGCCUACCAAGGCGACGACGGGUAGCCGGCCUGAGAGGGCGACCGGCCAAACUGGGACUGAGACACGGCCCAGACUCCUACGGGAGGCAGCAGUGGGGAAUAUUGCGCAAUGGGCGGAAGCCUGACGCAGCGACGCCGCGUGAGGGAUGACGGCCUUCGGGUUGUAAACCUCUUUCAGCUCUGACGAAGCGAGAGUGACGGUAGGAGCAGAAGAAGCACCGGCCAACUACGUGCCAGCAGCCGCGGUAA